CUCCGUUAUGGUCAUUAUGUAUAGUUCAACCAUCAGACGUAGGGUGAGCUCUAUCUUGCUCAUCCUAUGUCUUCCUGCACUCCGACUUGCAUUCAACAGUCACUUGCGCGAAUCCUUUAGGGCCUGGCAGCGGUGAGCCCUACUGUGUGUCUGAGUGACAGAACCAUCAGGAAGGAAAAGGUAACUCAGAAUUGCCCCACAAUUCAUCUGUUUCUUGCCUUUAAAGGCUAUAUAUUCAGGGGAGGGUAUUGAAAAUAUGUGACAGUAUAGUCUGAAGGCUGU
This 282-nucleotide long non-coding RNA is filed under the name Bos taurus (domestic cattle). RNAcentral's name for it is "long non-coding RNA NONBTAT022844". The record is from RNAcentral. Lineage: Eukaryota; Metazoa; Chordata; Mammalia; Artiodactyla; Bovidae.